AGUGAACGCUGGCGGCAGGCCUAAUACAUGCAAGUCGAACGGCAGCACAGCAGAGCUUGCUCUGUGGGUGGCGAGUGGCGGACGGGUGAGGAAUACGUGGGAAUCUGCCCAGUCGUGGGGGAUAACGUAGGGAAACUUACGCUAAUACCGCAUGCGCCCUUCGGGGGAAAGCCGGGGACCUUCGGGCCUGGCGCGAUUGGAUGAGCCCACGUCGGAUUAGCUAGUUGGCGGGGUAAAGGCCCACCAAGGCGACGAUCCGUAGCUGGUCUGAGAGGAUGAUCAGCCACACUGGAACUGAGACACGGUCCAGACUCCUACGGGAGGCAGCAGUAGGGAAUAUUGGACAAUGGGCGCAAGCCUGAUCCAGCCAUGCCGCGUGAGUGAAGAAGGCCU
RNAcentral lists this ribosomal RNA (393 nucleotides) under uncultured bacterium. RNAcentral's name for it is "bacterial SSU rRNA". It matches the Rfam family "Bacterial small subunit ribosomal RNA", at positions 30 to 417 of the family's 1533-position model. The record is from RNAcentral.